GACGAACGCUGGCGGCGUGCUUAACACAUGCAAGUCGAACGGAAAGGCCCUGCUUGCAGGGUACUCGAGUGGCGAACGGGUGAGUAACACGUGGGUGAUCUGCCCUGCACUUCGGGAUAAGCCUGGGAAACUGGGUCUAAUACCGGAUAGGAGCCAUUUUUAGUGUGAUGGUUGGAAAGGUUUUUUCGGUGUAGGAUGAGCUCGCGGCCUAUCAGCUUGUUGGUGGGGUAAUGGCCUACCAAGGCGGCGACGGGUAGCCGGCCUGAGAGGGUGGACGGCCACAUUGGGACUGAGAUACGGCCCAGACUCCUACGGGAGGCAGCAGUGGGGAAUAUUGCACAAUGGGCGCAAGCCUGAUGCAGCGACGCCGCGUGGGGGAUGACGGCCUUCGGGUUGUAAACUCCUUUCGCUAGGGACGAAGCUUUUUGUGACGGUACCUAGAGAAGAAGCACCGGCUAACUACGUG
This 466-nucleotide ribosomal RNA is filed under the name uncultured bacterium. RNAcentral's name for it is "partial 16S ribosomal RNA". It matches the Rfam family "Bacterial small subunit ribosomal RNA", at positions 28 to 507 of the family's 1533-position model. The record is from RNAcentral.